CCUUUCUCACAUCCAAAAUUGGAUAUGAUCUGGUGUUUAUGGUAUAUUCAAAUUUGAUUUGAAUGUGUUACCAAAUAUAGAUAAUAUUUGACCUUAUCUAUAAGACCUUGCCGCCCAUGCCUUCUUUUCCCUUUCUUUUGUGUGACAAAUAGGGGUUCCUCACCAUGGGAAAUCAGAUUGAGAUCUGAUUUACCAUGAGAAAGAAAAAAAAGGAUGCGCAUUGCAUUUUUAGGUGUGGAAUUAUGAGAGGGGGCGACAACUCUUGGAAGAGUCCAACAUAUCUAGGACUCUUAAAACCCCAUCUUCUUUCAUGUCAAAAAGGGUUUUUAUUUUCUUUUUUGUGCGUAUAAGAAAGAAGAGAAGGUGGCCUUCACAUUGAGAGGGCUCUUGGGUGUGGUUCCAUGGCAUGAAAGAAGAGGAGAGUCCUUUCUCUUUGGGUGAGUGCAAAACCUAGAAUUUUAGGAUUUCUUCCUAAGGGUUUGGGAAGAGAGAAAAAGAAGAGAGAAGAGAGUCUCCUCUCUAUUCUUCUUUCACAUCCUCAUCUCCUCUAGAUGUCCUCUUUAACUUCUAAAAAGGUUCAAGAGAUUUAAAAAAAAGAUCUAGAUCAGCCAAGAAGAUGGUCUUCAUGCAAGCUAGCACUCUCAAGGAGAUCGAUC
RNAcentral lists this long non-coding RNA (656 nucleotides) under Elaeis guineensis (African oil palm). RNAcentral describes it as "long non-coding RNA (EGUI_LNC054315)". Lineage: Eukaryota; Viridiplantae; Streptophyta; Magnoliopsida; Arecales; Arecaceae. The record is from RNAcentral.